UAAAUAUAUGGAUUCAACACAAAUAUUUUUUUUAUUAAAGUUUCACUAAUAAUAAAGAACAUAAAGUUACAAGUAGAAAUAUAUGUCCGACAAGUUACAAUAUAGAAUAAAACUAAUAUAAUGCAUAGCAAACAAAGAACCGAACAUAACCCAAACAAGGCAUAUGUAUAACGUAGGCCAGGGACUAACAUGCACAUUCAGGGAUGGCACCAAGGGGGGAGGCAGGGACCCUAGCACCAAAAUGAAAAUUUGUUAUUUUAGUCCCUUAAAGAUUUUAAAAUUAUAAACUAGUUUACUUGGGUCCCAUGUGUUAAAGGCCAAUUUUGGGCCAUCCCUAAAUUACUCAGCCCAAUACAUUAAAUCCCAACAAUUUUGAACCCAAACUAAACCUACCCAUUACCCAAACCCAAUACAAAACCCUUAGCCCAACUAAACACUAAGCCCAAUACCACAAAUCAGAAACAAAAAAUACCUAAACCCUAAUCCUAGCUUGUGACGCCGAAUCCUCUAACAUUCGGCCACCCACCGUUCACCCACUCUCUGCUCCACCGCCCCAGUACCUGCAAGAAGAGAUAGAAACACUAAAAAAAUGAUUGAAAGAGGGUUAUAAAACCCGAAUCAAAAUUGUAAAAAGAGAGGGGGAAUAUGGUUUAAUACAAAAAACGAAUGUAACGAAGGCAUUUUUUUCUUUCUUUCUUUCAGAAUAUUCAAAAGAAAUAACAAAAACAAAACAAGCACAAACAGAUCGGAAAUAUAUAAGGGGAAAUACAAGAAAUAAGAUCGAUCCAGCAACCAAAUACCAACAUCAAAACCUUAAGGAGAAUAUUUUUUUAUCUCUGUUUUUACUUUCGAAUUUAUUCAUUGUACAUUUAUAAAUACAAAAAUAUAAAUAAACAUAACAAUUUUAAAAAACAUAAAUAAAAAGCAAAAAAAAAGAAAAAAAAUUAUAAAUUUACCUUCUCCGGCCACCGUGCGCUGUGGCUGGCGCCGGCGACAGACAGUGGCCGACGAUCGGCCGGUGACCGGCCCCCAGGCUGAGAACCCCUUCCCCUCUCCCUCCCCUCUCUUCCUCUCCCUUCUUCUCUCAUUUUUUUUUCUUCCUCC
This 1104-nucleotide long non-coding RNA is filed under the name Gossypium barbadense (sea-island cotton). Its description in RNAcentral is "long non-coding RNA (GBAR_LNC006795)". Lineage: Eukaryota; Viridiplantae; Streptophyta; Magnoliopsida; Malvales; Malvaceae. The record is from RNAcentral.